Molecule: ribosomal RNA, 484 nt
Filed under: uncultured bacterium
Lineage: Bacteria
Description: partial 16S ribosomal RNA
Rfam family: Bacterial small subunit ribosomal RNA
Source: RNAcentral
AUUGAACGCUGGCGGCAUGCUUUACACAUGCAAGUCGAACGGCAGCGCGGGCUUCGGCCUGGCGGCGAGUGGCGAACGGGUGAGUAAUGCAUCGGAACGUGCCCAGUAGUGGGGGAUAGCCCGGCGAAAGCCGGAUUAAUACCGCAUACGACCUGAGGGUGAAAGCGGGGGACCGAAAGGCCUCGCGCUGUUGGAGCGGCCGAUGUCGGAUUAGCUAGUUGGUGGGGUAAAGGCUUACCAAGGCGACGAUCCGUAGCUGGUCUGAGAGGACGACCAGCCACACUGGGACUGAGACACGGCCCAGACUCCUACGGGAGGCAGCAGUGGGGAAUUUUGGACAAUGGGGGCAACCCUGAUCCAGCCAUGCCGCGUGCGGGAAGAAGGCCUUCGGGUUGUAAACCGCUUUUGUUCGGGAAGAAAUCCUCUGGGCUAAUACCCCGGGGGGAUGACGGUACCGGAAGAAUAAGCACCGGCUAACUACGUG